CGUCUAUAUACGUAUAGCAUAUCAAUAAGCGGAGGAAAAGAAACUAACUAGGAUUCCCUUAGUAACGGCGAGUGAAGCGGGAAGAGCUCAAAUUUGAAAUCUUCAAGGCUCUACCUUGACGAAUUGUAGUUUAAAGAAGUGUUUUCUGUUGGAGGUUUUGGUAAAAGUUCUUUGGAAUAGGACAUCAUAGAGGGUGAGAAUCCCGUAUUUGACCAUUAUCUUUCCAGCUUUGUGAUACACUUUCAAAGAGUCGGAUUGUUUGGGAAUGCAGUCCAAAAUGGGUGGUAAAUUUCAUCUAAAGCUAAAUACUGGCGAGAGACCGAUAGCGAACAAGUACCGUGAGGGAAAGAUGAAAAGAACUUUGAAAAGAGAGUUAAACAGUACGUGAAAUUGUCAAAAGGGAAGCGUUUGACACCAGUGUUGUUUUCUCGAAAAUCAAUUAAAAAUGCUGGAUUUUGUGUUGUAUUGACUUUAUCAGCUUUCUGCACUUUUUUCCUGUCUUUUUUAAUGCACUUUUCGUUUAACAAGUCAACAUCAAUUUCUUUUGUUGUAAAAGAGUCAUUGGAAGGUGGCUUUCUUUUCGGAGAAAGUGUUUAUAGCCUUUGACUUCUGCAAUCGGAGAGAUUGAGGUCUGCAGCGUAGAUCCUUCGGGGUUAGAUGCAUUUGUGCUAAGUUAUAGCCUUUCAUAGACAACUUGUUGACUAUGAUCAGUCAUGUAGCUUACUCGCUUAUGUUAUUUUACCUACGCUUAGGAUGUUGACGAUCAGCUGAGCGCG
Molecule: ribosomal RNA, 776 nt
Filed under: uncultured Neocallimastigales
Lineage: Eukaryota; Fungi; Neocallimastigomycota; Neocallimastigomycetes; Neocallimastigales
Description: partial large subunit ribosomal RNA
Rfam family: Eukaryotic large subunit ribosomal RNA
Source: RNAcentral